Pelagophyceae sp. CCMP2097 is the source of this 82-nucleotide non-coding RNA. NCBI's taxonomy places the organism in Eukaryota, Pelagophyceae. The record is from the annotation of a GenBank genome assembly.
GAUACUGUGGCCGAGUGGUUAAGGCGAUGCCCUGCUAAGGCAUUGCGUUCUACGUUCGAGAGUUCGAAUCUCUUCAGUAUCG